CAUCUAUGAACCAGAAUGCAGGCCUUCACCAGGCACUUCUGGAGCCUUGAUGUUGGACUUUCCAGCAUCCAGAACUUAAGACAUACAGCUGUGAGUUUAUAAAAGUCUACAGAUUUUCAUCAAAUAAUGAUAAGAGAAAAAUAGAUAAGCUUUCUUUCUU
This 160-nucleotide long non-coding RNA is filed under the name Papio anubis (olive baboon). Its description in RNAcentral is "lncRNA (ENSPANG00000047503.1)". The record is from RNAcentral. Lineage: Eukaryota; Metazoa; Chordata; Mammalia; Primates; Cercopithecidae.